RNAcentral lists this transfer RNA (71 nucleotides) under Poliometra prolixa. RNAcentral's name for it is "tRNA-Phe". It matches the Rfam family "tRNA". Rfam says of the family: Transfer RNA (tRNA) molecules are approximately 80 nucleotides in length. Their secondary structure includes four short double-helical elements and three loops (D, anti-codon, and T loops). Lineage: Eukaryota; Metazoa; Echinodermata; Crinoidea; Comatulida; Antedonidae. The record is from RNAcentral.
GCAAAAGUAGCUUAAUAACAAAGCAAAGCACUGAAAAUGCUUAAAUAGUGGUUAAACCCCUCUCUUUAGCA